UACGUAGGGUCCGAGCGUUGUCCGGAAUUACUGGGCGUAAAGAGCUCGUAGGUGGUUUGUCGCGUUGUCCGUGAAAACUCACAGCUCAACUGUGGGCGUGCGGGCGAUACGGGCAGACUGGAGUACUGCAGGGGAGACUGGAAUUCCUGGUGUAGCGGUGGAAUGCGCAGAUAUCAGGAGGAACACCGGUGGCGAAGGCGGGUCUCUGGGCAGUAACUGACGCUGAGGUGCGAAAGCGUGGGGAGCAAACAGG
Molecule: ribosomal RNA, 253 nt
Filed under: uncultured bacterium
Lineage: Bacteria
Description: partial 16S ribosomal RNA
Rfam family: Bacterial small subunit ribosomal RNA
Source: RNAcentral